GACGAACGCUGGCGGCGUGCUUAACACAUGCAAGUCGAACGAAGUGGCGAACGGGUGAGUAACGCGUAAUCAACCUGCCCUUCAGAGGGGGACAACAGUUGGAAACGACUGCUAAUACCGCAUACUGAUGAGGGGGAUUGCGUCUGAUUAGCUAGUUGGAGGGGUAACGGCCCACCAAGGCGACGAGCAGUAGCCGGUCUGAGGGGGUGAACGGCCAAAUCUGGACUGAGAAACGGGCCAGACUCCUACGGGAGGCAGCAGGUGGGAAAUUUCCGCAAUGGACGAAAGGCCGAAGAAGCAACGCCGCGUGAGUGAUGACGGCCUUCGGGUUUUAAAGCUCUGUUAAUCGGGACGCGGUACCGGAAUAGAAAGCCACGGCUAACUACGUGCCAGCAGCCGCGGUAAUAC
RNAcentral lists this ribosomal RNA (408 nucleotides) under uncultured bacterium. Its description in RNAcentral is "partial 16S ribosomal RNA". It matches the Rfam family "Bacterial small subunit ribosomal RNA", at positions 28 to 526 of the family's 1533-position model. The record is from RNAcentral.